RNAcentral lists this long non-coding RNA (16100 nucleotides) under Gossypium barbadense (sea-island cotton). RNAcentral describes it as "long non-coding RNA (GBAR_LNC006886)". Lineage: Eukaryota; Viridiplantae; Streptophyta; Magnoliopsida; Malvales; Malvaceae. The record is from RNAcentral.
AAGCUCAAGCUGAAGUUUAGAGGUUAAGAGACCAAAUAGCUCAGAUGCAAGCGAACACGGUUGAGCAAAUUGCCGAGGUUCAACGAAAAUAUGAAGAACUCCAGCAACAACUUAGAGCAGAGGCAGCAGAGAGGGAGGCAGCGGCUGCAGCGAGAGAGGCAGAGGCACGAGCGAUGGUAGCAGAACAGAGCAAAAAGUACGAUGACCUCCAACUACAGCUUCAGCAGAUGAUGCAUAUGUUUCAACAAUCGCAAAAGCUGCCGUCUUAGACAUUAGUUUUCUUAUUGUAAGAAUGUUUUUAAGUUUUGUCACGUUUAACAUUAUUGUAAAAAUAUUUUAAAUUAUACUUUAUUAUUAAUUAUAUCAUAUAUCUUUUGUUAAAUUUGAAGUAUCAUUUAGAAUUAAUAUUUUUUGUUGUAUUUUUUAUGUUAAAUUUGCUGUUUUUGGCUGCAUUUUAUAUUAUAUUUGUUGUAUUUGGUUGGAUUUUAAUGCAGGAAGGGCUGGAUAUUGGUGAAAAAAAUUACUACAAAUCUGCCAAAUUUAGCGGCGUUUGUAAAAAAAGCGCCGCUAAAAGCCUUGACGUUUAGCGGCGCUUUACCCACAAACGACGCUAAAAGCCUUGACCUUUAGCGGCGCUUUUACCACAAAUGCCGCUAAAAGCCUUGACGUUUAGCGGCGCUUUUCCCACAAACGCCGCUAAAAGCCUUGACCUUUAGCGGCGCUUUUCCCACAAACGCCACUAAAAGCCUUGACCUUUAGCGGCGUUUUUUUCCAAUAAACGCCACAAAAAUUUGUGGCGUUACAUAUAGCAGCGUUUUUUACGGCGUUUUCCUGUAGUGCACUUCUGCUUUAGCCCCUAUUCUAUUUUUUUCACUUUGGGGAAUUUCUGCACUGCACUCUUUCGAGUUUCGUUUUAUUUUAAUGUUUGAAUCAGAUAGCAAAAUAAUUUUUUUUAAAAGAAAAAAAGUCAAUUAAAUUCUAAAAAGAAGUGUAGUGACAAGUGAUUAUGAUUAAAGUGUUAAGUAAUUAACAAUAAAAAAAAUAUGAUAAUUGAAGUGAUUGUAUAAAAAAAAAUAGAAAUGAAUGUGCUGUAGGUAAUCAACAAUAAGAGUGAUAGACAUUACAUGAACGAAAAAAAAUUCUAUGAAACAGUAAGGUCACUGUAUCCAAUUUUUAAUAAUUUAAUAUCACAAUAAUAUUUUUCAUCUUGAAUUUCAAUAACUUUAUCUUAAAAAAAUUAAAUAUAAAUAAAAAUUAUGAAAUUUAAAAUAAAAUUAUGAAUGUGACACUAUUAAAUAAUUGAAAAUAGAUAAUAUUUUUUCACUUUCAUGAACAUAUAGUAAUGAGACAAAAAUUACAAAGAUAGUAAACAUAGUGGAGAUUACUUAAAAGUUGAUGCAAUAUUUUGAUAAACAAAGUACAUACUAGCAUACUUAGAUGUAAGAGUAUUGUUAAUUUAGCUAGAAGGGAAAGUAUUCUUAUUACACUAAGGAAAGAUUAAAAAGUGAAAUCAUUAACAAUAUCCAUAUCUAAACUUUUAAGUCAUCUUUUUUAACUCCAGUUUAAUUGUAUUUCCUUUUUUACUUCUCAUUAAUCUAUGUUGAAGUGAAUUAUAUAUUUGAAACUACUACGAAUUAAAAAAAAAAUCAUAUUAAAUAAUAUUUUUCCUAGGAUUUUUGUUACCAAAUAGUAAUUUUACAAAAACAUAAGAAAAUAUGUUAUAAUUUUUAACUUCAAAUGUGGUCUGUUUGUUUCAUUUUUAAAUAAUUUUUUCACAAACUAUAUCCCUAAUUUUUAGAUUUAGUAUGAGUGGUUUGACAAUUGUUAUGAGUAAUUUUUUAUUCAAUAUAUCUAUUGGAACAAGUCUAGUAACUAAUCAUUUUACAUUCUGUAGAUUCAUUAAGAGAUAGAUGCUGACCACAAAUUUUAAAGUUGCUCUAUAUUCAGGAUAAAAAUUAAACCCUCGGCUAUUUAUAAACAAUUAUUGUUUGAUAAAUGCAUUGUAUAAUUAUUUACUAGAUAGAAAAGAAGAAGUAGCAAAAAGUUGGCGUAAUAAUAACUUUUGUAUCUAAAAUUUAGUUGAAUGCUUCUUCCGCUUUUCCUAUAAUCAUUUUGAUAUAAAUUAUUGUUCGUAUAACUUGUAAUAAAAACAAGUAGCUACGUAGACUUAUCUUCUUUCUUGGUGGGGAAACAAUUUUAAUCCACAUGUGGUGGUGUUGAAAUUUUUUUCCAUCUAUUAAAUGAUAUUAUGCUUAAUCCUAGAAUAAUGUUUUUUAAAAUUCUUCACAUAUUAUCAAAUUUUUGAGAUUUCAUCUUCAUGUUUAUAGCCAGAAAAUCAUUUUAUAUUACUAGUCUGCCUCAGAUAUAGUUAUAAGAACUCAAAUCAUAAUCAUAAGAAAAUCCAUCCCUUCGAUUAUGAUCGAAAUACGCUUCUGUUACGGUGGGUAUAAUACUAAAGAUAAAGGAAAAAGGAAGUGUUGAGGGUUGGACCCAACACGUUAGUUCUUUGUUUUCUUUAGGGGUUUUUGUCUUUCUAUUUGCUAAAGAGCUAUGGAUUUAAUUCCAAUCAUUCAUGUAAAAUCAAUCACUCUCUUCAAAUAUUUAAUGAAAUUUUCUCACGAAAACAAUAUAAGUUGGACGUUAAAAGAAAGCAAAUAAUGAAAUCGUUUGUAAUAAUUUUCAAGGUAGCGGAUGGGAGUGGAAGCGCAAAUAGUUAAAGUGGUGGCGGUAAGAAGUCAUUAUUGAAUUGUUAGACAAGGACAUGGAUCGUCGUCAAGCUUUCAUUUUCUGUUAAUGACAUAGUCCAUUGGUAGAUACAGAUAUGAAGGGGUUGAACUCAGCUCCUUUCCUGGGCGGCCCGUACCACUGGUACAGUGAUAGGGAAUUCAAGUGGUUCUCCUAAAACACCUCACAUCACCCUCCAGAAGUUUCCAGUAUUAACAUGAGAUUGACACGUGGAACUGAUGUUGAAUGCUCAAGGAAGAAGCUAAGGGAGGGGAAACAAGGAAUGGCAUUUUCUGGUGUCGGUAUAAGAAGCAAAAAUGGACGCGUGGAAACCAUAAUAUAAACAUGAAAAUGAAAGGCCAUUCAAAUUGAAAGCCUACUUUAACAAAGGAAAAUGGGAGUUUUGACAAUGGAGCCAUCAGGGAAAUCAAGGAAUGUGUGAAGAGCGAAACACACACACAUACAUUAUAACGGUAUAGUAACUAAAGUAAGGGAAAUAAGUAAGUUGAUUGGAAAGCUAGCUCUGGAUAAAUCGGCUGGUGUUGAGACUUCUCUUGGUUCUUUUUUUUUUUUUCUUCCUUCAUUUUAAUAUAAAAACUUCUUUAACCUGAAUUUUAUCAUAUCUUCACCUCAGAUCAUUAAUAUCUAAUUAAGUUUUUCAAAAUCAUUCCAUUUAUGUUUAUAUGUUUUAACGUCUAUUGAGGGUAAGUUGGUAAAGAUUAAUAAACUUUAGCACUUACUAUUUUUUACUUAAAUUUGGUUCAUCAACUUUUGUUUUUGGUUGAAACCAAGGUGUCUAUUAGAGGUAUUGAUUAAUCAUCUCUCCAUAGGUGCUAUUCAAAAAAGUAAUUGGUUUGUCAUUAAAUGUGUUCUAUUUCAAUGGAUGAGAUUAAACCUCCAACUUCAUAGUUAAGGAAUAAGAUGAACAAUUGUAACGCCUUCCACCCGACUUGAUUCAUCGAGUCUGGAUCUUAAGUGUUACUACUCAUGAUACUUAACAAAAUAUCGAACAGUUGACAAACAAUCUUUACUUAAAACAUUUUUCUUAUUAAUUUAACUAAGAGACUUAAUAUUUCAGAGCAAAGGAAAGUAUUAAAUAUAAUUUUUUACACCAAACUUGUUACAACUCAUUACAGUAUAAAAGUUUGUUAAAGACAGACUCUUAAGGCGUAACCCUAAUCUACGUCACUUAUCCACUGUAUGCAUAAUAACCCAUUUCAUCGCUACCUUGGCGCACUCUUGGGCUCGUCCCUCCUCGUGUUUUCUCUUACCACAAUAUCUGAAACAAUAACAGACAUUGUAAGUUCAAGAGAACUUAGUGAGCUUUAUUACAAAAAUAUCUUGAUGGAUACUUUAUAAUAUUCGUAGAAUAUUUAUGCGUCAUCUAUCCUUUUGAACCACUUAUUUCUGUAUCAAGCGGAUACUAUUACACUUUUGGCUUACUCUCGCCAACUACCAUACUAUUAGCUUACCAAUUCUCUCUUAACUAACCAACUUAGGAUCUUUCCAUACAUUUCAUUAAUCUUUUCUUUCACUUAACCACAAAAGUACUUUUUCAAAGAAUAUACCUUUGGAGCCCACUUCACAUAGACCCUCUCCUCACAUAUAAACUUAUUCCAAAAUAGUUGUUCAUAGAUAUUAAUCCCUAACGAAUAUAUACACGUUUAGCAGAUACUUUCACAGAACUGAAUAUCAUCUGUCCACUAAUCAAAUCAUAUUCUUGUACAAUAGUCCAUAAACUCGUACUGAUAAUGAACUAUACAGAUCAUUCAAAUGAACUUCACAUAAAAAUUUGUUACAGAAUCCAGGAUACUUAAAAUAACGAUGUCUCGAAUAUGAGAUUUCAGAAGAAGACAUGGCACUGUUCAAAUAUGACGGAAAUCAUAUACUCAUAUUUUCAGCACUAAAAUGCAAACAAACUUGAAUUGACAAUUUCUUAUAUCUUUCAUAUCCAUGAAUACACCCAUUUUCAAAACUAACAAAUUACCAUGGCGAAUACCCUUUCCAACAUACAAAUACACAUUUCUUUUCAAAACUUCCUUUAUCUAAUUCAACCAAAUUCACCUUAUCAUUGAAAUAUCUAUCACAGAACAAUCAAAAUUUACCUAGACCUUAUCAUAAGGGCGGAUAAGCAUACUUUACCAAAUAGACUUUGCAAAGUUUGCCACAGGGGCCAAAUAGAAUACGCCAUAAAGGCAUCAUACAGAUUCACGUACUUAUUGUCCCGAUAGACUCUCACAGAAGGUGUCAUAGGUUUCUCCCUCAUGGACUUAUACAUAAUUUCAUGCAUCGUGAUCUGUCAAUUCGAUUUAAACAUUAUCGAAUCCUACACCAUGAACAUACAUAAAGACAAAUCUUACAUUGGGCUUCAGCCACAUGGACUUAUACACAUUCAUGUAUUGUGAUUUGCCAAUCCAAUCUUCAACUUAUUGGAGGCUACACCAUGAGUGUUCUUAUAUCAUAUGACACCAUGGGUCUUAACCUCAUGGUCUUACACUUGAUUUCAUAUCGUGAUUUGUUAAUCUAGUUAGCAAUAUAAUUGCCCUACCAGCACUACAAGAAAAAUAGGGCUUUAGCGGCGUUUUUAGCGGCGUUUUAUCAAAAAACGCCGCAAAAAUUGUAAAACACAGAGCAAUAGCGGCGUUUUAUCCAAAAUGCCGCUAAAAAUAGAGCAUUAGCGGCGCUUUUGGUAAAACGCCGCUAAAAAACAGAGCAUUAGCGGCGCUUUUGGUAAAACGCUGCUAAAAACGGAGCAUUAGCGGGACUUUUGGUAAAACGCCGCUAAAAAUCAGAGCAUUAGCGGCGCUUUUGGUAAAACGCCGCUAAAAAUAGGAUCAAUAGUGGCGUUUGUGGUCAAAACGCCACUAAAAGUCUCACAUAACCCCUAAAGUUCUAACCCCUCAAAAAAUCAUAAACACUAAUCUAUAACCCCUAAAACAGUAAACCCAUAAACACUAAACUAUUACCCCUAAAACCCUAAACCAGUUUAUGUUCAUAAUAAACUAUGGAAACAAUACUUAAUAUUGAUUACAUUUAUUUUUGGGUUUAGGGUUUAAGGUCUAUGGUCUAGGGUUUUAUGGUUUAAGGUUUAAUGGCCAUGGGUAUAUAGUAUGUUAAUCUCAAGUGAAUCAUAUUCACUAAUUAAAUCCUAAACCUUAUAAUUAAUAUAUAUUUAGGGGCAUAAGUAGGGGGUUGAAAGGGUAUCUGCUCCUCUAAAAAUGAAAAAUUUUCCAUUUCGGUUUUUUGAAAUUUUGAAAAAAUUUAAAGGUAAAAUUGAACUUCAUCCCUUUGAAUAGUGGAAAAUUUUUUAUUUAAUCAUUUCAAAAUUAUAAAAAUAUAUGCUAAACUUUAAUCGUUUAAAGUUUAGAUGAUAAAGGGGUAAGGAUAAGAGAUUAAUGGGUAGAAGUUUAAGGUUUAUGUUUUAUGGCUUAGGGUUUGGGGUUUAGGGUUUAAUAUUUAGGUGUUAGGGGUUUUAGGGUUAAGGGACAUGGGUUAGGGGUUUAGGGUAAUUAGUGUGAAAAAUAUAUGUUAAAAAAUUAAAAUACUACUAUUUAAAAUAAUUUUAAAGUUUAUUUGGGUAUACAACUGAUUAUUUUUUAAUCUAUAUAUUAAAUAAUUUCAAAUUUUAAAGAAUUAAAAUUUUAAAAAAUUUUCAAGUUUUCAAAUUUUCAAAUUUUAUGUAAUUCUUUGAAAUAUUAGUUAAAUUUUAAAAAUUUAUUUAUUUAAAUAAAAAAAAUUAAAAUACUAUUAUUUAAAAUAAUUUUAAAUUUUUCUGGGUAUAUAAGUGAUUGUUUUUUAAUUUAUAUUGUUUUUAAUUUAUAUAUUAAAUAGUAUUAAUUUUAAAAGGCAUUAGCGGCGUUUAUUUAGAAAACGCCACAAAAGGUUUGAUAUAGCGGCGUUUUUAUAAAAAACGCCGCAAAAUAUCAUUAUGUAUUAAACAAAACGGAGCCGUUUUAUUGGAUUUGUUAGUGGCGUUUUGCGCAAAACGCCGUAAUAGGUGCGUUUUUAGCGGCGCUAGGCUAUAAACGCCGCUAAAGGUGAUUUCGGUUAAAACAAAAACGAUGUCGUUUUGUUAUAUAUUAGUGGCAUUUUGGGGCUAAACGCCGCAAUAGGUGCGUUUUAGCGGCGCUAAGGUAUAAACGCCGCUAAAGGUGAUUUCGGUUAAAACAAAAACGGCGUCAUUUUAUUAUAUUAUUAGUGGCGUUUUGAGGCUAAACGCCACAAUAGGUGGUUUUUAGCGGCGCUAGGUUAUAAACGCCGCUAAUGUUAAAUUAUUUUGUUCAAAACUUCGUCGUUUAACACAUUACUUUUAUCCCUCUUUACUUUUCCGUCAUUUAGGCUACAGCGUUUCCCCUAUUUUUCCCCAGUUCUAUUUCUCCCUUCUUCCUCAUCCUAAAUCCUUAAAUCCCUAACUAAUUUUCCCCGAUUUGAAAUCCCGAAGAUUCACCCCUUCCACCCGCCUUCCAGUCAAUUCCCUGUAAUCCCAUCUAUCAUUUCCCUAUUUUUCCCCAAUUUUAUCACCCAUUCCCGAAUUCAACAUCCCAAAUCCCUAACGAUUUUUCCCCGAUUUGAAAUCCAUAAGAUUCGCCCCUCCCACCAACCUUCCAGUCAAUACCCCAUAAUCCCAUCUAUAGAAAAUCGAAUUAAGAAAGGGCAAGGGUUUCAGAAGUUGGGUUUCGGGUUGAAGAAAAUAGUUGAAGUUAAGUAUUUACCGAUAUUUUGUAUUAGUAUUAGUUUUUGUUGUUGAUUUAGCUAUUUUUUGGUUGCCUUUGUUAAUUUGUUUUUGUCUUUUUACAGAGAAAAGUCUCGCAGAGGCUGCAAGAGUUAGGGUAAAAAACCAAAAAAAAUUCCAUUACUUUUGGAUGAUAGUAAGCUUCGAUUUAUUGUGUGGUUUUAUUGGGUUCUAUUAAUUUGCAUUUGCGUAUAAUUGUUUGAUUGGGUUCUAUUAAUUUAUGGUUUGAUAGGCAUUUUACAGAGAAAAGUUUUGCAGAGCAAGAGUUAGGGUAAAAUACCCAGACAGAACUCCAUUACUGUUGGACGACGGUAAGCUUCAAUUUUUUGUUGUUUGUAGUUCGAGACAUGAAAUUAACCUUUGGUAAUAAUUGGUGGAAUUAAUCUUGGGAAUUAACCAUUCUAUUUAAAUAGAUAUAAUUUUAACAUAUUCGUAUGCAUGUUGAUAAAUUAUGUUCGAUGCUAUAGCUUUUUGGCUACUUUGUACUAUUGUAAAAUAUUUUAGUAGUCUUAUUUUAGGCAUGCAGUACCUGGUCCAGUAAGAUAAAUAACCUGAAACUACCCACUUUAUGUUUGAAAUGUAUUUACUAGGAUUACUUUAGUUGCAUUCUUUUGGAGAAAUAAUGGGGUGGAGUAUGGCAUGAUAGAGUGCCUGUUCCAUAACAACUUUGAGAGGAAGAAUCAAUCCCGAUCAAGUUAAACCAGCUAGUUAUAACACUUAGGGGAUUGGUUUAUGUUGGUUUUCCUCCAUGACUUUUAAGUUUUAUAGUAAAUACAUUUUUUGAGAGUUGAACCUUAAAAUGAAAGUUCCAUUAUAUAAAAGUAAAAAAGGUAGUUCUUAGAUCCUAUUCUUUAAUGAUUCCAGAAAGAAAGGUCCGAAGGGAUAUUCUGCUAGUGACUUGUGUGAUAAGAAGAAUAUACUGCUCUCCAAUACAUAUUUUUGGUUUUCAGUAAACAGAAUUUAACAUGGAAUAUGGGUAAGGUUGAUUUUGAUAUCAAUAGAUGUAGUUUAAUGUGUAGAUUUCUUUAAGAUUUUAUUAUGGUUGACAUUUUUUUUUAUUUUGGUUGACAUUUUUUUAUUUUUGAGUUUUGUUCAGUUUGUAAAAUCCAAAUUUAUGAAUAUGUUUUGGUUAUUUAUAAUUUUUAAUUCUCUUAUUUAUCAAUCUAACAAAGUUGUUUUUCUUGUUGUGGUGCUUACUUUGUCAAAUGUUUGUCUAACAGUUACCUCUGGUAUGUGAUUCUGUAACAACAGCUAUAGUCGAGUAGAAUAAAGAUAACUCAACUUGAACAAGAACUUCAGAGAGCACGAUCUCAGGUUAUUAUUUUUUCUUUAUUAUAUUGAUUACGAUUUAUAUAUAUUUAUAUAUAUUUCUUUCUUCCGUUGUUCUAUCUGUUUCAAUCGAUCCGACUUUGGACUUCUCAUAUAUUUGCUUCUCUACCCUUGAUCAUUUUCAUAACCGAGUUUUGCUUCUAUGGGCUUUAAAUUACAGAGCAUUUUAUGCAGAAUUUGAUUUUUUGUUUUUGUUUUUAUAUUUAUUUAGCUAAAUAAAUAAUUAUGAAAAUAUUUCUUUUACAUCGAUAGAUCUUUUAUAUUUCAUUCUUUUAUAUAAUGCAUGUAAAAGUUGGAAUUACGACAACUGGUUUAAAUAUUUGUUUUCUGUAAAUCAACUUUCAAUCUUUCAAUUCAUAUUAAUAUAGAUAAUAUUUUGAUGGUAAAAAAAAUAUAAUAUUUUAGGUCGUUAUGAUAGAAAUAUAAACUAAAUACAAUUAUAUUGAUAACUUUAAUAGAAAUUAAUAAAAGGUUUAAAAGCGGAUUAGUUAUAUUGUAAUGUUUUAGUAAUUGGACCAGACAUUAAAUUGGUGAGCUUUAAUCGAUUGGUUGUGUUAAUAAUAAUUUAAAUAUAAAACAAGUAAUUUUAAUAUUAAAUGAGUAUUGAAUAUAACAAAUAUUAAAUAAAGAAUAUUUUCGAUUAAAUAGUAGAAAUUUUGCCUAUAUCUUUCAAAAUACGUAUUAACUGGUAAAAAGAAACAAUUUUCUAAGACCCCAAAAAUGAAAUCAUUUAAUAUAUGCCUUUGUUAAUUAAUGCUUCAGUAAUCAAUUUGAUAGCAUUUUUUUCCCAUCAAAUUAACUCUUUCUUGUGUUAUCUAUUACAAAUUAAUUAAAUAAUAUUAUUUUACCUUGAAUAAUAAAAUGCUGUUUCUUUUCUUAUCUAUUACAAAUCAAACUAUUUUAUGAAAAACUAAUUUAAAUUAAAGAAACAAAGAAAAUUGAAUACCUCCUAAGUUAUUCCACUCUAAAUAUAAUUUAUUUAUAUUUUGAAUUAUAAAAUGCUAUUUCUUUUCUCCUAUCCCUCAAACCAUUGCCAAAUUGCAACACAUUUCAUUCCUUCUUACACUUUCAUAUAUGUCUACUGUUUUAGUUUAUUUAUAUUAAAUAAUAAUAUUUAAUUUGUUUUUUAUAUUCAAUUAAAAAUUAUCACAAAUAAUUUGGAUUAAUUUAUUUAAAUAUUAUUUAAUUAAAAUAGUUUUUUAAAGGGAAAUAAUAUUUAUCUUAAUGUUAAAUAUAUAUCAUAUAAUAAUUUACAAAACUAACAUAAUACAUAAAUAUAUAUCAUAUAAUAACUUGCAAAACUUACAUAAUACAUAAAUAUAUAUCAUAUAAUAACUUACAUAACUUACAAAACUUACAUAAUACAUAAAUAUAUAUCAUAUAAUAACUUACAAGACUUACAUAAUACAUAAAUAAUAUAUAUCAUACAAUAACUUACAAAACUUACAUAAUACAUACCUUAUAUAAAUUUAUAUCAUAUCAUAACUUGCAUAACAUACAAAACUUACUUAACUUACGUAAUAUAUAAAUAUGCACUUGAAAAUCCCGCAACUUACCUGAAGUAGUUUACAUCCAUUAGAUACUUGAUACUUGAUAUGUAUUAUCUAUUUUAGUAACCGUAAUUGAUUGUUAACUUUAGAAUUCAAGAACUACAAAAUGGAUUGGAGUUGAAUGAAUUUUUCAAGGGUAAGCAAUGCCUAUCGAAAUGGAGUACAAACUUUUCUAAAUUUUGCAUUUCAAAAUGCAAGCCAAGAGAAAAUGAUUAUUUGCCUGUGUAAGAAGUGUGGCAAUAUCAAUUGACAUUUUCGUGAAGUUGUCUACGAACAUCUAAUUGUUGAUGGCUUUAUUCGGGGGUAUAAAAAAUGGAUUUUUCAUGGAGAGUGUACAUCUAGUGGAACUUCUUCAACGAUUAAUCUGACUUAUCCUGGUACUGCUUACCAUCAGAAUGUUAGACAAGAUGACAUGGAAGGUAUGUUGCGGGAUGCAUUUAAUAUGCACAGUCAUGGUGAGCAAUCGUUUCCACCUGACUUUAUUGCAUCCGAUGACUGUAAUAUUGGUGGGAAUGUUUUUGGCAAAACGGGAACAAGUGCACCUUAUGAGGAGCCAAAUAAAGAAGCGGCGAAGUUCUACAAUUUACUUAAUGAAAUGAACGAAGAACUUUAUGAGGGAUCAAAAUAUUCGAAAUUGUCCUUCUGCAUUCGUCUAUUUCACUUAAAAUGUUUGGGGGGUGGACUGGAAACUCUUUUACAAUGCUGCUAGAGUUUCUGAAAGAGAUGUUUCUAUUUCCAAAAAUCCCCCAAUCUUGUCAAGAUAUGAAGAGACUAAUAAAAUAUUUGGGCCUUGGGUACGAUAAAAUUCAUAGUUUCCCAAAUGACUGCAUGUUGUACUGGCGUGAUCAGAAGAACCAACAGUGUUGUAAUGUUUGCGGCAAGUCUCGUUGGAUGAAUAGGAAUACAGAAGAUGUGAAUGCGGAUGAAUAUGGGGCACAGUUAAGAAAGAAGCCAGUCAAGGUUUUGCGAUACUUUCCCCUAAUACCAAGACUUCAAAGGCUUUUCAUGUCGUCAAAGACGGCCGAAUCUAUGAGGUGGCAUAAUGAUCAACGGACCGAUGAUGGAUUAUUAAGACAUCCUGCGGAUUCUUUAGCUUGAAAAUCAUUUGACAUGAAAUUUCCAAGCUUUGCAAGCGUUCCUCGAAAUGUGAGGCUUGGGCUAGUAGCUGACGGCUUUAAUCCAUUUAAAAUCAUGGGUACUUCGUACAGUACUUCGCCUGUGGUGCUUGUUUCUUACAAUUUACCUCCAUGGAUUUGCAUGAAGCAAUCUUCGUUUAUUUUAUCAAUGAUUAUUCCUGGAGAGAAAGGUCCCGGAAAUGAUAUUGACAUCUAUUUGCAGCCACUUAUUGAAUAGUUAAAACAAUUAUGGUCGGGUGUUGAGACAUAUGAUGUAUUCAGAAAGGAGAACUUUUAUUUACGUGCAGCUUUAUUGUGGACAAUUAAUGAUUUCCCGGCUUAUGCUAAUUUAUCGAGUUGGAGUACUAAAGGACGUUAUGAUUGUCCUUGUUGUGCUGCGCAAACUUGUUCGAAGUGGUUGUACAAUGGGAAGAAGUUCUCUUACAUGGGUCAUCAUCGGUGGUUAGAUGGAAAUCAUAAAUUUAAAUUUCAGAGGACUCUAUUUGACAGUACUGAAGAGUACAGAGGAGCUCCUGAGCAGACCGUUGGAUCUAAAAUCUUGUUUAUGUUAAAAGAGAUCAACUUCAGUUAUGGGAAGAAGAAUCAACCACCUAAUACGCAAUCAAAGAGAAGAUUGAGGGAUGAAUCUAAUGAUGAAUCUGACGAAAAGAAUGAUCCUAAUGAGGCAGACUUGUGGAAAAAAAGAAGCAUUUUUUUUAGUUGCCUUAUUGGGAGCAUAACAUUUUACGCCACAAUCUUGAUGUCAUGCAUAUUGAGAAGAAUGUCUGCGAGAACAUAAUUGGGACAAUUUUGAAUGUCAAUGGAAAAUCAAAAGACAAUCUUCAGAGUCGACUUGAUUUAGUUGACAUGAGAAUUCGGCGUGAUCUUCAUCCUCAAGUACUUCCGAAUGGGAAAUAUUGGUUGCCGCCUUCUAUUUUUUCAAUGUCAAAGGAAGAGAAAGAGGUGUUUUGUAUGGUGUUGAAGGAUAUAAAGGUCCCAGAUGCGUAUGCGUCAAAUAUAUCUCGAUGUGUGAGUCUUAAAGAUCGAAGAUUAUAUUCACUAAAAUCACAUAAUUACCACAUCUUGAUGCAAAAUUUACUCACAGUUGCUUUAAAGUGCUGCAUGUCAAAAAAUGUGACGUCCUGUAUAAUUGAAUUAUCCAAUAUAAUGAAAGCUAUUUGUGGCAAAGUUUUGGAUGCUGAAGAACUUAAGAAAGUACAAGAUCGAGCUGCUUUGACUUUAUGCAAUUUGGAGAAGAUCUUUCCACCUUCCUUCUUCAUUAUUAUGGUGCACUUGGUAAUCCAUCCCCCUCAUGAAGCAAUACUUGGUGGACCGGUUUUUUAUCGAUAUAUGUAUCCUAUAGAAAGGUGCUAAUUUAUUUGUCAAGUAUUUAUUUAACUUUUGAUAAAUAUUGUAUAUCGUGUUUAGGUUCCUAAGCAAAUUGAAAUCUUAUUGUCGCAAUAAGCGUUAUCCAGAAGGAUCAAUUGCUGAAGGCUACUUGGCAGAUGAGUGCAUGACAUUCUGUUCUAGAUAUUUAGAAGAUGUUGAAACACGAUUGAAUAGACCAAAUAGAAAUGUUGGGCUCAAUGAUCAUAACUUGGCCGAAACUUAUUUAUUCCAAAGUUAUGGAAAACCAAUCGGCAAAGUUGAAAUUGCAGAAUUAGAUGAUAUAUCGUGGAUACAAGCACAUCGAUAUGUACUUUUUCACCACGAUUUAGUUGAACCGUUACGCAAGUAAGUUCUAAAUUUCCUCACAUAUUCGUCGUUUUGAUUUGUUUAUCUUCUAACCAAUUACAAUUGUUUUUAACAUAGUGAGUACAGACAAAUUUUGAGAUGUCAUGCACGCUCUCGAAGAUUGCAACAUCGAGAGAUUAAUAAGUUAUUCACGGAAUCUUUUCAUGAAUGGUUACGUCAAACGGUAUGUAACUAAAGUUAAUAAGUUACAUAUAAUUGCGAAAUUUAGUUAAUUAUUCAAUUUACUUUCGAUUCAAUAGGUUUGGAGUGGAAAGGACGUCAAUGACGAAGUUAAAUGGCUUUCCCAAUAUCCGAACAGAGUAAUAAAAAGGUAUAGUGCCUUCCUCAUCAAUGGAUACAAUUUCAUACAAAGUAUCGUGAGAGAAUGAGGAAAACUCAAAAUUGUGGAGUUGUUGUUAAUUCUUCAAUUACAAGUUAUACUAGUGCUAGGGACAGUAAUCCGAUUGAGGGUAAUGUGGAGUAUUACGGACUUCUUAUCGACAUUAUUGAGUUGGAUUACUAUGGCAGAUGGAAAGUUGUCUUAUUUCGGUGUGAUUGGGCUGAUGUUAAUACUGCUCGAGGAAUUAAAGAAGAUCAAUUUGGUUUUACAAUGUUGAAUUUCUCUCGUUUGAUUCACACUGGACAACAAUUGAUGGACGAGCCAUAUGUAUUUUCCUCUCAAGUGAAACAAGUUUUUUAUUCAAAAGAUCCAACUGAUGAGGGUUGGUAUGUUGUACUCCAGAACACCCCUAGAGACUUGUUUGACAUGGGUAAUGGAAGUAGAGAUGACAUCGUCGAAAGAUUAGAAACAUUACCUUUUUCAGAACAAAACUUAGAUGAAAAUAUCCCUAGUACUAGUACACAACAUCAAUGGGUUCGACAUGAUGUGGAUGAAGAUAUUUACGAAUAAUGAUGUAGUAAGAUUUUACGAUUUUUUAAUUAUAUGUAAUAUUAUAAUUUUAAUCUUUGUCAUGUUAUAUAAUUUAACUAUUUUAUAAGUACUACUAUUGUUGUAAUUUGUUACUAAAACUUUAACUAUUUUAUGUGUAUUGCAGGAAAAAUGCGUAGAAGAAGAUUACGAGAUUUAAGUAUUGUCCAGAAUACUCCAAAUUCGGAAGAAGGAAAUAGUGAACAGCAGACAGUUGUUGGAUCUUCGAAUGUGCCAGAGACACUUGAUGAGCCUAAAGAAUUUCAAAGUAAUGUUAUGUUCAUUUUACAUGUGUUGACUUUUAUUAUUGAAUUAUUUGUCAAUUUUAAUAUAAUAAUAGUAUAUCAUUUUUCAGCUGAAAGUGGUUGGAAGCGCAGAGUUUGAGGACAUACGCUGCUUAGAGAUUUAUACGACUUAGAUCCUGUCGAGCGUGUUAAAGUAAAUAGAAAUACUCAUGGUCAGCCUGUUGGAUCUGAAGCUCGAGUUUUAGCAGGCUAUUUGGGCAUUUUAGCACGAAAUGCAAAUAUGUUGCCCAUCAACUACGAAUCAUGGCAUCACAUGCCUGAUAGCAACAAAAACCAGGCUCUCGCUAAUAUUAAGGUAACAAAAUGUGAAUGCAAUUUAUAAUACUUUGGUUUAAGUUUCAUUUAUAUUUACAUUCUAAACUUAUGUUUUUUUAGGAGAGAUUUGCUUUAGAAGUCUCCGAUGAUUAUAUCAAGAAGGCAUUAGGUAAAAGAUGGAGAGACAAUAAAAGCACUUUAAAGAAACAAUAUUUUAAGAAAGACAUAAGCCUCGAGGAAAAACUGAGAAAUGUUCCGCCAGGAAUGCUGAGGUAUCAAUGGGAAGAUGCGGUUAGAUUUUGGAAUUCAAAGAAAGGAGAGGUAUUGCGUAUUUCCAAACUCUUAUAUAUAGUGUUUACUAUAUACGUAAUAAUAAUUUUAUUAUGUAGGACCGUGAGCGAGUUGGAACAAGCAGCAGGCAAAAACAAAAAUUCACGCACACGGCAGGGUCGAGAAGUUUUGCUUCUGUAGCUGAGGCCGAGGUAUUAUGAAUUUAUUAAUUCUUUCAAAUAUUAAUAACUUUCUAUUAUUAAAUAAUAUUCUUACUACUAUAUUGUAGGAAGUCAAAUCCGGACAAAAAGUUGGACGCCUUCAGCUUUUUGAGAUUACGCAUUGGAAGAAAGAUGGAUCUCCUAUGACAUCCGAAGCUGGAGAAAUUAUGGUAUAUUCACUUAAUAAUAUUUGAUUUAUUCUAAAUAUUUAUAAUCUUUAAUUAUAAUUGUUUAAUUCAAUUCAUCAUUAGUAGUUUUAAAAAAUGUUAAGUUAUGUUGCAUUUCUUUUUAUUAUAUAUUUCGUUUCUAACUCUUUAAUUGAUUUUUUAGGAGAAACUAAAGGAGAAGAAGGCGGAAUAUGAAGCGAUUGCUUCGAGUGAUAGUUCUGUUAAUCUUGAGAACAUUGAUAACAGAAUUAUCACUGAAGUUUUGGGUCCUAAAAGGUACGGUCGGGUUCGAUUUCAAGGAUCUGGUGUUACCCCGACCCAAUAUUUUGGAUCUGGCUCCCAGCAAUACAUGCCUUCCGGAAGUCAAGCUCAAGCUGAAGUUCAGAGGUUAAGAGACCAGAUAGCUCAGAUGCAAGCGAACACGGUUGAGCAAAUUACCGAGGUUCAACAAAAAUAUGAAGAACUCCAGCAACAACUUAGAGCAGAGGCAGCAGAGAGGGAGGCAGCGGCUGCAGCGAGAGAGGCAGAGGCACGAGCGAUGGUAGCAGAACAGAGCAAAAAGUACGAUGACCUCCAGCUACAGCUUCAGCAGAUGAUGCAGAUGUUUCAGCAAUCACAAAAGCCGCCAUCUUAGACAUUAGUUUUCUCGUUGUAAGAAUGUUUUUAACUUUGUCACGUUUAACAUUAUUGUAAGAAUAUUUAAAAUUAUACUUUAUUUAUUAAUUAUAUCAUAUAUCUUUAGUUAAAUUUGAAGUUUCAUUUAGAAUUAA